Molecule: ribosomal RNA, 429 nt
Filed under: Chloroflexota bacterium
Lineage: Bacteria; Bacillati; Chloroflexota
Description: Chloroflexi bacterium partial 16S ribosomal RNA
Rfam family: Bacterial small subunit ribosomal RNA
Source: RNAcentral
UGGGGAAUAUUGCACAAUGGGCGCAAGCCUGAUGCAGCCAUGCUGCGUGUGUGAAGAAGGCCUUCGGGUUGUAAAGCACUUUCAGCGGGGAGGAAGGCGUUAAGGUUAAUAACCUUGGCGAUUGACGUUACCCGCAGAAGAAGCACCGGCUAACUCCGUGCCAGCAGCCGCGGUAAUACGGAGGGUGCAAGCGUUAAUCGGAAUUACUGGGCGUAAAGCGCACGCAGGCGGUCUGUCAAGUCGGAUGUGAAAUCCCCGGGCUCAACCUGGGAACUGCAUUCGAAACUGGUAGGCUAGAGUCUUGUAGAGGGGGGUAGAAUUCCAGGUGUAGCGGUGAAAUGCGUAGAGAUCUGGAGGAAUACCGGUGGCGAAGGCGGCCCCCUGGACAAAGACUGACGCUCAGGUGCGAAAGCGUGGGGAGCAAACAGG